RNAcentral lists this ribosomal RNA (492 nucleotides) under uncultured bacterium. RNAcentral's name for it is "partial 16S ribosomal RNA". It matches the Rfam family "Bacterial small subunit ribosomal RNA", at positions 29 to 507 of the family's 1533-position model. The record is from RNAcentral.
AGUGAACGCUGGCGGUAGGCCUAACACAUGCAAGUCGAACGGCAGCACAGUAAGAGCUUGCUCUUACGGGUGGCGAGUGGCGGACGGGUGAGGAAUACAUCGGAAUCUACUUUUUCGUGGGGGAUAACGUAGGGAAACUUACGCUAAUACCGCAUACGACCUACGGGUGAAAGCAGGGGAUCUUCGGACCUUGCGCGAUUGAAUGAGCUGAUGUCGGAUUAGCUAGUUGGCGGGGUAAAGGCCCACCAAGGCGACGAUCCGUAGCUGGUCUGAGAGGAUGAUCAGCCACACUGGAACUGAGACACGGUCCAGACUCCUACGGGAGGCAGCAGUGGGGAAUAUUGGACAAUGGGCGCAAGCCUGAUCCAGCCAUACCGCGUGGGUGAAGAAGGCCUUCGGGUUGUAAAGCCCUUUUGUUGGGAAAGAAAAGCAGCAGGUUAAUACCCCGCUGUUCUGACGGUACCCAAAGAAUAAGCACCGGCUAACUUCGUG